This 1476-nucleotide ribosomal RNA is filed under the name Enterococcus faecium. RNAcentral's name for it is "partial 23S ribosomal RNA". It matches the Rfam family "Bacterial large subunit ribosomal RNA", at positions 12 to 1490 of the family's 2925-position model. Lineage: Bacteria; Bacillati; Bacillota; Bacilli; Lactobacillales; Enterococcaceae. The record is from RNAcentral.
AUAAGGGCGCACGGUGGAUGCCUUGGCACUAGGAGCCGAUGAAGGACGGGACUAACACCGAUAUGCUUUGGGGAGCUGUACGUAAGCUAUGAUCCAGAGAUUUCCGAAUGGGGGAACCCAGCAUCUUUAAUAGGAUGUUACGAUUGUGUGAAUACAUAGCACAUUCGAGGUAGACGCAGAGAACUGAAACAUCUAAGUACCUGCAGGAAGAGAAAGAAAAUUCGAUUCCCUGAGUAGCGGCGAGCGAAACGGGAAAAGCCCAAACCAACAAGCUUGCUUGUUGGGGUUGUAGGACUCCAAUAUGGUCGUUCUUUCAGAUAGUCGAAUGACUUGGAAAAGUCAGUCAAAGAGGGUAAAAACCCCGUAGACGAAAUGUGGAAGACACCUAGGAGGAUCCUGAGUACGGCGGAACACGAGAAAUUCCGUCGGAAUCCGGGAGGACCAUCUCCCAAGGCUAAAUACUCCCUAGUGACCGAUAGUGAACCAGUACCGUGAGGGAAAGGUGAAAAGCACCCCGGAAGGGGAGUGAAAUAGAACCUGAAACCGUGUGCCUACAACAAGUCAAAGCCCGUUAAUGGGUGAUGGCGUGCCUUUUGUAGAAUGAACCGGCGAGUUACGAUUGCAUGCGAGGUUAAGUUGAAGAGACGGAGCCGCAGCGAAAGCGAGUCUGAAUAGGGCGUUUGAGUAUGUAGUCGUAGACCCGAAACCAUGUGAUCUACCCAUGUCCAGGUUGAAGGUGCGGUAAAACGCACUGGAGGACCGAACCCACGUACGUUGAAAAGUGCGGGGAUGAGGUGUGGGUAGCGGAGAAAUUCCAAACGAACUUGGAGAUAGCUGGUUCUCUCCGAAAUAGCUUUAGGGCUAGCCUCGGAAUUGAGAAUGAUGGAGGUAGAGCACUGUUUGGACUAGGGGCCCAUCUCGGGUUACCGAAUUCAGAUAAACUCCGAAUGCCAUUCAUUCAUAUCCGGGAGUCAGACUGUGAGUGAUAAGAUCCAUAGUCGAAAGGGAAACAGCCCAGACCACCAGCUAAGGUCCCAAAAUAUAUGUUAAGUGGAAAAGGAUGUGGGGUUGCACAGACAACUAGGAUGUUGGCUUAGAAGCAGCCACCAUUUAAAGAGUGCGUAAUAGCUCACUAGUCGAGUGACCCUGCGCCGAAAAUGUACCGGGGCUAAACAUAUUACCGAAGCUGUGGAGUACACCUUUAGGUGUAUUGGUAGGAGAGCGUUCUAAGGGCGUCGAAGGCAGAUCGUGAGGACUGCUGGAGCGCUUAGAAGUGAGAAUGCCGGUAUGAGUAGCGAAAGACAGGUGAGAAUCCUGUCCACCGAAUGACUAAGGUUUCCUGGGGAAGGCUCGUCCGCCCAGGGUUAGUCGGGACCUAAGCCGAGGCCGAUAGGCGUAGGCGAUGGAUAACAGGUUGAUAUUCCUGUACCCGUUGUUUUUGUUUGAGCAAUGGAGGGACGCAGGAGGCUAAGGAAU